This is a long non-coding RNA of Diospyros lotus (date-plum), 386 nucleotides long. RefSeq lists it as uncharacterized. The record is from RefSeq and is a predicted model, not a curated record. NCBI's taxonomy places the organism in Eukaryota, Viridiplantae, Streptophyta, Magnoliopsida, Ericales, Ebenaceae. The transcript has 3 exons.
GGGGUACUGGUCCUCGAGGUGUCGGCGACAUUUCUGGAGCUUUUGGUGACCAACGGAGCAGUGGGGGAGAAGAUUCAAGCCUUCGCCGGAAAAUCGCGAUUCGCCGGAGCCGAGCUUUCAAUCGCAAAAUCGAGGGGCCCUCGUGAGCAAGGAAAUUAAGGGGUAGCCGCUUGGCACGUAGAUCGAGACAAAUUAACUCCGGGACUUGCAGAGAUGAUUCAGAGAGUGGUGAUGUGUAGUGACGCGAGACAUCAAGAUGCAAGUGAAUGUACCAUGAUUAGUUUAAGAUUUAUGUAUAUUGUUCCAUCAUCAAACGCUUUAUGUAUUAACUUGUAUUAAAUGCCAUGUACGAUUAUUAAAUUAUGCAUGAGCAGGUUCGAUUCAGC